Molecule: ribosomal RNA, 1198 nt
Filed under: uncultured bacterium
Lineage: Bacteria
Description: bacterial SSU rRNA
Rfam family: Bacterial small subunit ribosomal RNA
Source: RNAcentral
GCGGGGGAUAACAUUUGGAAACAGAUGCUAAUACCGCAUAACAAUUUGAAUCGCAUGAUUCAAAUUUAAAAGAUGGCUUCGGCUAUCACUUUGGGAUGGACCUGCGGCGCAUUAGCUUGUUGGUAGGGUAACGGCCUACCAAGGCUGUGAUGCGUAGCCGAGUUGAGAGACUGAUCGGCCACAAUGGAACUGAGACACGGUCCAUACUCCUACGGGAGGCAGCAGUAGGGAAUCUUCCACAAUGGGCGCAAGCCUGAUGGAGCAACACCGCGUGAGUGAAGAAGGGUUUCGGCUCGUAAAGCUCUGUUGUUAGAGAAGAACGUGCGUGAGAGCAACUGUUCACGCAGUGACGGUAUCUAACCAGAAAGUCACGGCUAACUACGUGCCAGCAGCCGCGGUAAUACGUAGGUGGCAAGCGUUAUCCGGAUUUAUUGGGCGUAAAGCGAGCGCAGGCGGUUUGAUAAGUCUGAUGUGAAAGCCUUUGGCUUAACCAAAGAAGUGCAUCGGAAACUGUCAGACUUGAGUGCAGAAGAGGACAGUGGAACUCCAUGUGUAGCGGUGGAAUGCGUAGAUAUAUGGAAGAACACCAGUGGCGAAGGCGGCUGUCUGGUCUGCAACUGACGCUGAGGCUCGAAAGCAUGGGUAGCGAACAGGAUUAGAUACCCUGGUAGUCCAUGCCGUAAACGAUGAGUGCUAGGUGUUGGAGGGUUUCCGCCCUUCAGUGCCGCAGCUAACGCAUUAAGCACUCCGCCUGGGGAGUACGACCGCAAGGUUGAAACUCAAAGGAAUUGACGGGGGCCCGCACAAGCGGUGGAGCAUGUGGUUUAAUUCGAAGCUACGCGAAGAACCUUACCAGGUCUUGACAUCUUGCGCCAACCCUAGAGAUAGGGCGUUUCCUUCGGGAACGCAAUGACAGGUGGUGCAUGGUCGUCGUCAGCUCGUGUCGUGAGAUGUUGGGUUAAGUCCCGCAACGAGCGCAACCCUUGUUACUAGUUGCCAGCAUUCAGUUGGGCACUCUAGUGAGACUGCCGGUGACAAACCGGAGGAAGGUGGGGACGACGUCAGAUCAUCAUGCCCCUUAUGACCUGGGCUACACACGUGCUACAAUGGACGGUACGACGAGUCGCGAACUCGCGAGGGCAAGCUAAUCUCUUAAAACCGUUCUCAGUUCGGACUGCAGGCUGCAACUUAGCGGCUA